AGUAACGCGUGGGUAAUCUGCCCCCGAAUUGGGGAUAACAUUGCGAAAGCGAUGCUAAUACCGGAUAACAUUUUAAGUACUUCGGUUCUUAAAACCAAAGGUGGCCUCUACAUGUAAGCUAUUGUUUGGGGAUGAGCCCGCGUACCAUUAGCUUGUUGGUAGGGUAAUGGCCUACCAAGGCAACGAUGGUUAGCUGGUCUGAGAGGAUGAUCAGCCACACUGGAACUGACACACGGUCCAG
RNAcentral lists this ribosomal RNA (241 nucleotides) under uncultured bacterium. RNAcentral describes it as "partial 16S ribosomal RNA". It matches the Rfam family "Bacterial small subunit ribosomal RNA", at positions 109 to 334 of the family's 1533-position model. The record is from RNAcentral.